This 246-nucleotide unclassified non-coding RNA is filed under the name Hevea brasiliensis (rubber tree). The record is from RNAcentral. Lineage: Eukaryota; Viridiplantae; Streptophyta; Magnoliopsida; Malpighiales; Euphorbiaceae.
UGUUGCUGCAUCUUCAUUACCAUGUACAUUUGGGCCAUCUGAUACUCUUCCAGUGACAUAGGCAUGACAAUUCGGAAUUCCUUGAUUUGAACCAUUUUUCUUGCAGCAAUCAGCAACCCUAUUACUCUGGCAGAUAAAACAUACAAGCUGAGACAAGUACAACAAAGUUAGCUAGCUUGGAAUAUAUAUAUUGAUCAAAGUGCAGAGAAAAUGAGAGAAGAAACGAGGGAAGAGACAAUGAGAAAG